RNAcentral lists this ribosomal RNA (253 nucleotides) under uncultured bacterium. RNAcentral's name for it is "partial 16S ribosomal RNA". It matches the Rfam family "Bacterial small subunit ribosomal RNA", at positions 524 to 776 of the family's 1533-position model. The record is from RNAcentral.
UACGUAGGGGGCAAGCGUUGUCCGGAUUUAUUGGGCGUAAAGAGCGUGUAGGCGGUUAUACAGGUCCGCUGUGAAAACUGGAGGCUUAACCUCCAGACGUCGGUGGAAACCGUAUAACUAGAGUCCGGAAGAGGAGAGUGGAAUUCCUGGUGUAGCGGUGAAAUGCGCAGAUAUCAGGAAGAACACCCGUGGCGAAAGCGGCUCACUGGACCACAACUGACGCUGAUGCACGAAAGCUAGGGGAGCAAACAGG